This 335-nucleotide unclassified non-coding RNA is filed under the name soil metagenome. RNAcentral's name for it is "partial contains 5.8S ribosomal RNA, internal transcribed spacer 2, and large subunit ribosomal RNA". The stretch from base 1 to 120 matches the Rfam family "5.8S ribosomal RNA", at positions 35 to 154 of the family's 154-position model. The record is from RNAcentral.
GAUGAAGAACGCAGCGAAAUGCGAUACGUAAUGUGAAUUGCAGAAUUCAGUGAAUCAUCGAAUCUUUGAACGCACAUUGCGCCCGCCAGUAUUCUGGCGGGCAUGCCUGUUCGAGCGUCAUUUCAACCAUCAAGCCCCCGGCUUGUGUUGGGGACCUGCGGCUGCCGCAGGCCCUGAAAACCAGUGGCGGGCUCGCUAGUCACUCCGAGCGUAGUAGUUACAUCUCGCUCAGGGCGUGCUGCGGGUUCCGGCCGUUAAAAGCCUUAUUUACCCAAGGUUGACCUCGGAUCAGGUAGGAAGACCCGCUGAACUUAAGCAUAUCAAUAAGCGGAGGA